RNAcentral lists this ribosomal RNA (469 nucleotides) under uncultured bacterium. RNAcentral describes it as "partial 16S ribosomal RNA". It matches the Rfam family "Bacterial small subunit ribosomal RNA", at positions 28 to 507 of the family's 1533-position model. The record is from RNAcentral.
GAUGAACGCUGGCGGCGUGCUUAACACAUGCAAGUCGAACGAUGAAGCUGGAGCUUGCUCUGGUGGAUUAGUGGCGAACGGGUGAGUAACACGUGAGCAACCUGCCUCUGACUCUGGGAUAACAGCCGGAAACGGCUGCUAAUACCGGAUAUGCACCAUGAACGCAUGUUCUGUGGUGGGAAAGAUUUUUCGGUUGGGGAUGGGCUCGCGGCCUAUCAGCUUGUUGGUGAGGUAAUGGCUCACCAAGGCGUCGACGGGUAGCCGGCCUGAGAGGGUGACCGGCCACACUGGGACUGAGACACGGCCCAGACUCCUACGGGAGGCAGCAGUGGGGAAUAUUGCACAAUGGGCGAAAGCCUGAUGCAGCAACGCCGCGUGAGGGAUGACGGCCUUCGGGUUGUAAACCUCUUUUAGCAGGGAAGAAGCGAGAGUGACGGUACCUGCAGAAAAAGCGCCGGCUAACUACGUG